CGACCCCAGGUACAGAUGGGGA
RNAcentral lists this ribosomal RNA (22 nucleotides) under Glyceria notata. Its description in RNAcentral is "partial 26S ribosomal RNA". The record is from RNAcentral. Lineage: Eukaryota; Viridiplantae; Streptophyta; Magnoliopsida; Poales; Poaceae.